GGGUAAGUUAAAACAAAAUAUAAAUAAAAUAAAACUAAAAAUAAACAGUACUGCCAGUGCAACCAUAUAGAUUACAUUUUUACAAUGAAAAACGUCUUCAAAGCAUAAACAAACGGGAAUCGUCUAGCUACGGAUGUUAUUUACUGCUGUUAAGGAGAUAUUUCCAAGCAGGAGGAAGUUCUUGUGCUGGGUGGUCGUUAAGGAGAGAUUCUUGACUCUGCCUUGCGUAAAUCUCGAUGGCUUCCGCUGUAGCGGCAUGUUUUUCUUUCGGAAGUGUUUUUAUUAUCCGCACUUCCUGCCAUCUUACUUCUACGUACUAUCUUACGUAGAAGAUGGACUUCUACGUAAGAUGGUCUCCUGCGAUCUUACAUAGAAGUUGUUGAAUUGUUGAGAACAGAACUCCUGUUUUUGACAUUAUGUCUAUGGAAGUUGAUUUUAAGAAUCAAUUUAUCAUAAUUUCUUAAUUCUUAAUAAUUCUUAUUUAGAAUUAAUUUUUAAUUCUAAAUGCAAGUUUUUAAUUUAUGAGCAUACUUCAGAAUGAAUUAAUUUUUAAAGUUGAGAACUAUCUGUAUUUUGAGCCAGAAUCAUUUUUUAAUUAUAAUUAAAGUUGUAAUCAAUAAUAUAUUUAUCAAAUAUUAAUGCAUAUAAGUAUCAUAAAAACUUUUUUGAUUUGGUGAUAUAUACAGUAUAUAACCAGAGAAUCGUUGACCAGAGUCACAAUUAAAAAGAUAGCGGAUAAAUACUGAUACUCAGGUUAUUUAACCUGUUUUAAAGGAAAAAUAGUUGUAG
This 789-nucleotide long non-coding RNA is filed under the name Androctonus crassicauda. The record is from RNAcentral. Lineage: Eukaryota; Metazoa; Arthropoda; Arachnida; Scorpiones; Buthidae.